Molecule: ribosomal RNA, 468 nt
Filed under: uncultured bacterium
Lineage: Bacteria
Description: partial 16S ribosomal RNA
Rfam family: Bacterial small subunit ribosomal RNA
Source: RNAcentral
GACGAACGCUGGCGGCGUGCUUAACACAUGCAAGUCGAACGGAAAGGCCCUGCUUUUGUGGGGUGCUCGAGUGGCGAACGGGUGAGUAACACGUGAGUAACCUGCCCUUGACUUUGGGAUAACUUCAGGAAACUGGGGCUAAUACCGGAUAGGAGCUCCUGCUGCAUGGUGGGGGUUGGAAAGUUUCGGCGGUUGGGGAUGGACUCGCGGCUUAUCAGCUUGUUGGUGGGGUAGUGGCUUACCAAGGCUUUGACGGGUAGCCGGCCUGAGAGGGUGACCGGCCACAUUAGGACUAAGAUACGGCCCAGACUCCUACGGGAGGCAGCAGUGGGGAGUAUUGCACAAUGGGCGGAAGCCUGAUGCAGCAACGCCGCGUGCGGGAUGACGGCCUUCGGGUUGUAAACCGCUUUCGCCUGUGACGAAGCGUGAGUGACGGUAAUGGAUAAAGAAGCACCGGCUAACUACGUG